CAACGCAAACAAACACUGCCCUGUGUAUAUAAUUCUGUAGCCGCGGUAAGGACUGAGUUUAUAUCUGUCUCAGCAAAGUGAUUGAAAAUCUGCGAGUCUGAGAUAGUCAGAGCAAGCUUGAUAAAAGCCUCCUUGGUCAGAGCGAGCAACGAUGGGGCAUUGCUUUUCGGCAACUGUAGACGCCUUGGACGACAACCACAGUCACCAUAGUCAUCACAGUCAUGGCCACGGUCAUAGGCACAAGCUUGGGCUUGGCUGCUGUCUAGCGUUGUGCUGCGGCAUUUGCCUUGGCCACAAGAUGCGGUCAAGGAGGGGAUCCCACUCCAGCCACGGCUCGGGACACUCACACCACUCGCACCGCUCCCACAAGCACAAGAAGCACCACAAGAAGCACCACAAGAAGCACAGGAGGGGGUCAAACUCGAGCUAAAGAGCCAGGAAUUGGACUAUAGGUGUUCUGGGACAACUGAGAACGGGUUUACGCUCCGCAGAGGGAAAAUCGAGCCACAGCUAACUGCAGUCUACAGUCAUCCGUCUUUCUGAGGACCUGUCAAAUGCACGCCACGCCACAAUGAUGUGUAAUGUUAUAUGCAACACAAAAUCCACUGGUAUAAAAGUGAAACGCAACUUCAAAAACUUCAGAGUCAAGAUUGAACUUGAAUUACAAUCAAACUAAAAAAAAUCACAGUUUCGAAGCAAAUGAACUAGAUAUUGUUUUACAGAGGAUUGACAACAAAUGUUUCAUAAAAAAAGUUUGUAAAAUAGUUAACAGAUGCUAUAGAUGUGUUGUACAUAUUUUUGAUAAAGAUAUAUUUCCCAUAGUACAAUUUGAAACGUUAGUCUGUGUGUUUGUAUCAAAGCCACACAGGCAUUCGAACGUAACCCACAAAGCUAUUAUUGCUGGGACGCUGCACAGUUUAUGUGGUCAUGAAAAGCUAAUUUGUUUUGUUGUGUUUGUGUGUAUCCAUGACUAAACGAGUUGACCUAAAUCAACCCAAUACUUCAAAGUGCACAAGGUCGAUGUUCUAAUAGGUCUGCAACAUAAUGAAAGAUUUAGCUGAUUAGUUUAUUUGUAGUUUAACAUAUCCAUACAGAAGGUGGACAUGUGCCGAACUGUUUUCUGACUUAAGAUGAAGUUUUGUUAAUAAAGUUUGUGUCUAAGGA
Branchiostoma floridae (Florida lancelet) is the source of this 1164-nucleotide long non-coding RNA. RefSeq lists it as uncharacterized. The record is from RefSeq and is a predicted model, not a curated record. Lineage: Eukaryota; Metazoa; Chordata; Leptocardii; Amphioxiformes; Branchiostomatidae. The transcript has 2 exons.